Molecule: unclassified non-coding RNA, 345 nt
Filed under: soil metagenome
Description: partial contains 5.8S ribosomal RNA, internal transcribed spacer 2, and large subunit ribosomal RNA
Rfam family: 5.8S ribosomal RNA (bases 1-120)
Source: RNAcentral
GAUGAAGAACGUAGCGAAAUGCGAUACGUAAUGUGAAUUGCAGAAUUCAGUGAAUCAUCGAGUCUUUGAACGCACAUUGCGCCCCCUGGUAUUCCGGGGGGCAUGCCUGUCCGAGCGUCAUUGCUGCCCUCAAGCACGGCUUGUGUGUUGGGCCUCCGUCCUCCUCCCGGGGGACGGGCCCGAAAGGCAGCGGCGGCACCGCGUCCGGUCCUCGAGCGUAUGGGGCUUCGUCACCCGCUCUUGUAGGCCCGGCCGGCGCUUGCCGACACAUCAGUCUUUUUUCCAGGUUGACCUCGGAUCAGGUAGGGAUACCCGCUGAACUUAAGCAUAUCAAUAAGCGGAGGA